GACGAACGCUGGCGGCGUGCUUAACACAUGCAAGUCGAACGGAAAGGCCCUGCUUUUGUGGGGUGCUCGAGUGGCGAACGGGUGAGUAACACGUGAGUAACAUGCACUUGACUUUGGGAUAAAUUCAGGAAACUGGGGCUAAUACAGGAUAGGAGAUCCUGCUGCAUGGUGGGGGUUGGAGAGUUUCGGCGGUUGGGGAUGGAAUCGCGGCUUAUCAGCUUGUUGGUGGGGUAGUGGCUUACCAAGGCUUUGACGGGUAGCCGGCCUGAGAGGGUGACCGGCGACCUUGGGACUGCGAUACGCCCCAGACGCCUACGUGAGGCAGCAGUGGGGAAUAUUGCACAAUGGGGGGAAGCCUGAUGCAGCAACGCCGCGUGCGGGAUGACGGCCUUCGGGUUGUAAACCGCUUUCGCCUGUGACGAAGCGUGAGUGACGGUAAUGGGUAAAGAAGCACCGGCUAACUACGUG
Molecule: ribosomal RNA, 468 nt
Filed under: uncultured bacterium
Lineage: Bacteria
Description: partial 16S ribosomal RNA
Rfam family: Bacterial small subunit ribosomal RNA
Source: RNAcentral